Molecule: ribosomal RNA, 1479 nt
Filed under: metagenome
Description: bacterial LSU rRNA
Rfam family: Bacterial large subunit ribosomal RNA
Source: RNAcentral
CACAGGUGGAGUUUCCUGUACUGCGGUAUGACAGAACUGUGGGGACACGUAAGGAAAGCGGAAGCCGGGAAUGGAAAGCCCGGUGCGAGCGGGGUACCAGCCACUUUGGCAAAUCCGGGUGGCAAUGGGAAGCCGUGAUGCGGAGCGAGAUAAAGUAGCGAAGUCCGUGAGCCAUGCGUCAAGAAAAGCCGCUGUCGUUUAUACCGUACCCGUACCGUAAACCGACACAGGUGGAUGAGGAGAGAAUCCUAAGGCCGGCGGAAGAAGCAUUGUCAAGGAACUCGGCAAAAUGGCCCCGUAACUUAGGGAUAAGGGGUGCCUGGGAAACCAGGCCGCAGAGAAUAGGCUCAAGCAACUGUUUAGCAAAAACACAGGUCUAUGCGAAACCGAAAGGUGAGGUAUAUGGGCUGACGCCUGCCCGGUGCUGGAAGGUUAAGAGGAGAGGUUAGCGGUAACGCGAAGCUUUGAAUUUAAGCCCCAGUAAACGGCGGCCGUAACGAUAACGGUCCUAAGGUAGCGAAAUUCCUUGUCGGGUAAGUUCCGACCCGCACGAAAGGCGUAAUGAUUUGAGCGCUGUCUCGACAAUGCAUCCGGUGAAAUUGAAGUACCAGUGAAGAUGCUGGUUACCUGCGCCAGGACGGAAAGACCCCAUGGAGCUUUACUCCAGUCUGGUACUGGGACUCGGUAUUGCAUGUACAGGAUAGGUGGGAGGCUGAGAAAUGGUAACGCCAGUUGCCAUGGAGCCGCUGUUGGGAUACCACCCUUGCAGUAUUGGGUUUCUAACCAGCCGCCGUGACCCGGCGGUGGGACAAUGCCAGACGGGGAGUUUGACUGGGGCGGUCGCCUCCGAAAGGGUAUCGGAGGCGCCCAAAGGUUCCCUCAGAAUGGACGGAAACCAUUCGAAGAGUGCAAAGGCAGAAGGGAGCUUGACUGCGACACCGACGGGUGGAGCAGGUACGAAAGUAGGGCUUAGUGAUCCGGUGGUAUUAAGUGGGAAUGCCAUCGCUCAACGGAUAAAAGCUACCCUGGGAUAACAGGCUUAUCACUCCCAAGAGUUCACAUCGACGGAGUGGUUUGGCACCUCGAUGUCGGCUCAUCGCAUCCUGGGGCUGUAGUAGGUCCCAAGGGUUGGGCUGUUCGCCCAUUAAAGCGGUACGCGAGCUGGGUUCAGAACGUCGUGAGACAGUUCGGUCCCUAUCCGGCGUGGGCGUAGGAUAUCUGAGAGGAGCUGUCCUUAGUACGAGAGGACCGGGAUGGACGGGCCGCUGGUGCAUCGGUUAGACUGCCAAGUCUACGGCCGAGUAGCCAAGCCCGGAAGGGAUAAACGCUGAAGGCAUCUAAGCGUGAAGCCCCCCUUAAGAUGAGAUAUCCCAUUCGAAAGAAGUAAACCCCCUUGAAGACGACGAGGUAGAUAGGGCAGAGGUGGAAGUGCAGCAAUGCAUGGAGCUGACUGUUACUAAUCGGGUGAGGGCUUGACCG